CCUCUCAAAUUGCUGGGAUUAUAGGCGUGAGCCACCGCGCCUGGCCCUAUAUCUAUUUUUUUUCUAUCAACAGCUUUGUUGUAAAAAGUCAGUAGUUUAAGUGAUGCUAGAAGGGGAGAAAACAGUUCUUAUUUGGGGCAGGUAUCUAUUAAAUUGUUGAAUGACUGUGUUAUAGGUCAGGCAUUGACAACCUAUAGCUCAUUUGACCUACAACCCCAAAAGGGAUGAUUCAACUCAGAAGUAUUCAGAGCAAUUGCCACAACCAGCACUUUAAUCAGAAUUGCAAAGUAGUUGAAAUUUUUAUUUGUCACGUCCUUAUAUUCCUUUUCUGACGCUUCUCUACCCACUCACCAGCUGCUCAGGGUCUUCAGACUGCCUUUUACCUGGAAUCAUACCAUGCCCUGCACUGCAGUGCUGCUCCCCUACAUAUUUUUCCAUCUUACCAUCAACCAUGAUUAAGAUUUCUUUGAAACCAAUGAUGGGUAUAAAGAGGAAAGUUAGUCUGGUAAAGUGACCUUGUUAGAAGCAGAUGGCUUGAGAGCUUGCUGUGUCUGUCUCUGGAGCUGUCUUUUGUUGUUGUUUCAAAGAAGAACAGAAUGUUUUUACUUAAAUACAUUUCUAAUUUAUAAUGAUCAAUUUCCAAUUUACAAUGAUUCUGAUGUAUGAAUUUGGUAUAACGUUACAAGAGAGUCAUUAGAAGGGAGGAUUUGAUGAGGAAAUACACAUUUUUCUGAACGAGUGUGAAUUUUGUUCAUAGGUAUAAUUUAAAUAAAACUAAUUUAAAAUUCUUUAACCUUUGCACGAUUUUAAAAAUCUACAAGUUCAGGGGAAAAUAUGGGCAAAAAUAGAUUUUUUUUCCUGUUUUCUUGCUAAUAAAAGGGAAGAUUUGAAAGGAAAGACAGAGACGUAAAUCCAGACCAAACCAGAACCAACCAACCCAAACCUCUGUUACAGAAAGAGUUACAUACUUAAAAAUAUUUAAGAAUUGAAAUAGCUUUUAAAAAAGCUUUCUUGAAACCAUGGUGAAACUAUAUAGAAGAGAAUAAAAAAAUACCUAGGUGAAAUAGUGACUAAAAUACCCCAAAUCUUAAAGUAUUUAUCUGUAAUAUAUUCAUAAAUGUUUUUAUUUUAUUUGACAACGUACUUCCACCUUGUGGUGAGAGACUAGGAAAGGCCAGUUUUUGCAUUUUAAUUGAUUAUAGAUUGUCAACCCAAAAGCUUAAAAAAGAAGACUUCUUUGUCAAAGAGCCAAUCAAGUCCAAAGAAGUAGACACAUUAUUUGUACCACCUAGUGCCAAUGUGAAUU
Sapajus apella (tufted capuchin) is the source of this 1306-nucleotide long non-coding RNA. RefSeq lists it as uncharacterized. The record is from RefSeq and is a predicted model, not a curated record. NCBI's taxonomy places the organism in Eukaryota, Metazoa, Chordata, Mammalia, Primates, Cebidae. The transcript is spliced from 2 exons.